GGGCAAGGUGAGGAGAGAUUUCAUCACUCCAGCAUAUGGGCAACGCAGCCCUUCUUGAAGAGCCCCUCAUUCCCAUCCUGGGGCAUCUGAGUUCCUGAAGUGGGCACAGUGUUUACAGAGUCGGCAAUGGGAUGUGCAGCUUCGCAUCAUCUUAAGGCAGAUUUUACAGAUGCCCAUCGUCUGCUCAUUGACUCUCAGCAUCCCAAACGCCUCAGAGCUGUUUGUGAGUGCCCACGGAUUGAUGGCUGAAUGACUGAACACGCAGCACCACGAGGGCUGACAGUGCCCCAGUCUUGGCACUGACCAACACAGCUGUGCCCAGCUCCAGUGAGUCACCUCGGUAAGCACUGUGCUCCCGCUGCUUGCCGGGACCACGGGACCCAAAGGCCACCAGCCCGGUUUCGGUGCCCUGGUUUUCUUUGCUUGCCCGGCGGUUCCGCCCCACGCCCCACCCCGCAGCGGCGUUAAUGAUGGGGUAGGGAUUGCUCUGGGCUGGCGGGAGGUGUGGGUCACUCUGCCAGGGCAGUGAGCCGCGGUCAGUGGGACGCCGUGACACAGUGCCCCGAGCUGCAGCCAUCGGGGCUGGGCCAUGCUGCCCCAGGCAGUCCAGCCGGGGGAAGGUGCCCUCAGAGGGCCAGCCAGUAGGUGAUUGGGAUCAGUUUCCCCGUCAUGAGACUGUUUUCUUCUCCCAAACUCUGCAGCUGGGUGCAGCGCUGCACAGCUCUGUGGCAGCCCCAGCCCUUCCCUGGCCCAGGGAUCACUGCCAAAGCCCAGCACAGGGCAACCACUGAGCUCCUCUUUUCCGUUUGAAAGCUUAUAUAAAAAAUGAUGAUAAGCUAAAUCUAGAUCUAUGCAGCAAUUAUGUGGGAUGCCAGACCUUGCACCUGUAGCAUAAUACAUAACAGAGCCAGCUAACUGCCUUGUCUAAUGAUUGCUCUGAACAGCAUACAAAUCACAUUAUGGGGGGUGAGCUGAGAGCCAUUUUUCGGCCGAAGCUGAUGAGCUUGCAAAGACUUUCUUUGCCCCAUUCUCUCAGACUGCAGGUUUGUCCUCUUCUCCUUGGAAUCCUUCCUGUUAUUUUUCCACCUUCCUGUCACAGGAUGCAACGUUCAUCACGAUAAUAGAUCAAACUUUGAGUGGAAAAACUCCGCUUUACAGUUGUCUUUAGGAUUUCCCAGUUUCAUUUCCUGCAACCCAUAAUGAGCAGGUGGGGCAUUUUCACAGGAUGCUCGGGUGGGCAAGAGAUGCCUAUAAACAUUAUCCCACCUUAACCUCUCAGCUGUCACCUUGAGGUGGGACAGGCCAUCUUCUGAGGUACCCUAGCUUAGAAGCUUGGAUAACUGGAGAAGACCAGCUCCUGAAUACCAGUCGGGCAAUGGCAGGAGAUGACUCCCACUCUCAUGAUGGAGAAGACAACUCCCACUCUCUCUGGGAACUUAAAAUGUCCGUAUUGAUUUCUUAACCUGAAAUGUGCUUUGAAAACCCUGUCUGGAGAGCCUGCUUUGUCUCCCUGCACCUAAAUACUUUUGAAGCGUGGUCAGAGAUGCUCCCAACAUGUGCUCUGGAUUCUCUGGUGAGAGACACAGGAGGAAGUUUUGAGGUGGAAGAGCAGCAUCGGUGUCAAUUUGUUUGGAAGGAUUUUUGUGGACUGGACUUCUGUGGCUUUGCUUGCUUCCUGUUACUCUUAUGUUAUCAGCAUGAAAAUAUUAAAUUAGGUGACCAAUGUAGCCAGUAAGGCUGGCCACAGCUAUUAUAUAACGUCUGGUUGCUGUAAACAUCUCCAUGAUCGUUUCUUUGAUUGCAGUGCAAACAUAUCCUGUGCACAAUAUGUGGGUUACCAGGUAGAGUUAUGUCAUGACUCAGGAUGAGCCAAUAUCAUAAGCAAACGUUAAUGAAGGGUGGGAUUUUCAUUAGUUUCCCCGUAUUGACCUAUUUCACUUCCUAUCCAAGGCAGCAGCUGAAAAGAGCUGGCCUAAAUGGAUCAGCGUUCUGCAGCCCAAAAUCGUGAUGCAGGGCUGGAGGGAGCCCCGUUCUACCCAGGGUGGCUGUUCUCAUCUGACAUUAUGACAAAUAGUCCUAGGCUCCUUCUGUAUUAAAAAUAAAAGCCUUGAACUUGCAUAUUUCCUUAUGGAAAAAAAAAAAAAAAAGCUAUCUUGGGAUCCUGCUUAUACAACUGGAACAACUUUUGUUCUCCACCCCACCUAAAGACAAGCAAAAGGCUUUUAUGUUCUCUAGGUUAUUAAUGGACGGGGCUUCCUCUGCUGAGAGGAUGUUUGGAGCACUGCUAAAAUCUCUGCUCAGGUCCCUUGAAUCAGGACAAGUGAUCUUACAUCACCUUCCUGAGCUAAUUGCCAGCCUCUAAAAGACACAUUUUU
Molecule: long non-coding RNA, 2375 nt
Filed under: Gallus gallus (chicken)
Lineage: Eukaryota; Metazoa; Chordata; Aves; Galliformes; Phasianidae
Source: RNAcentral